Molecule: unclassified non-coding RNA, 4184 nt
Filed under: Diabrotica virgifera virgifera (western corn rootworm)
Lineage: Eukaryota; Metazoa; Arthropoda; Insecta; Coleoptera; Chrysomelidae
Description: uncharacterized LOC114332012
Source: RNAcentral
UACGCGUCAAGUGCCGUCCAACAUUACUUAUCUCGUGACUUCCACCAACUCCUAGUGCUCGGAACUUUCUUAUCUGUUUCCUUUCUACGGAUGCUGUUAGAUUUAAGUAUCUGCAUCUAGUCGUCGCAUUUUUUAAAUGCUUCAAAUACUUCUUUGGACGAGACCCAGUGAAUGCAUGUAGAAAUGUAUCGGAAGAAGAAUUGUUACGCGAUCGCACUAAAAGUAAACAAAAGUUUGUGAAUAUUUCGCGUUCAUCGUCUUCGUAGAGGUUUUGCCUGUAGUUGAUUUUAUGAGAAAAAUUUUUAUUGAAUGGAUUUUACAAGAAAAAGUGUUUUUAGUGCGGGAGGGUAUUUGGAAAAUGCCUGCAGAUAUGGUGUCGUUUGCCGUUUCAACAGGGCUAGGAGUUAGUGUUGUCGCUGGGAUUAUAUCUGGAGUAUGCUAUGUUUUGGCUUAUGGGUCCCAAAGGAAAAGUAGUCGUAAGAGUAAAAGUAACCUGCAUUGCGACGUCUGUGGAGAGUAUUUUCGGUCUAUAGAUCACAUAUUAGGAGGUGAUUGCAGCGUAUCAUGCUCAAAAUGUCAAAAGAAUGUCUGUCAAAAACGUUGUGCCAAUUUCGACGAACAACAAAAUGUUUGGACCUGUAAAAACUGUCUUCGACCACCAGAGUCCUGGUUUCAAGGAAUAUUAUAUGCAAUUCAACCCAACAAAAAGGACUUUUCUAUGGAUUCUAAUAAUGUUAUGGAAUCUAGUCAACUAAAAAAUAAGGAUCAUGUUCAAAAAAGUAAAGAACAAGUUCAAGAUUUUAUCGAAAAAUUAGUUAACUCUAUGUUAGGACAAAACAUUGAUGAUGCUAACAUAACCAAAAUGUACAACGAUGAACAUUAUCUUCCUUUAACCGGCCAACAAUCACCAUGUACAGCACAUGCAGCAUUAAAGCAGCUCAUAGAAAAACUUCUCCAGGAAGUAGCAAAUUUACCACAAUUACAGCGACCUCAACAGGGGACAGCAAUACCACCAGAUCUGAAUAAUAGAACAUACGAGGACUUACUUGCUACGGCCAUAUUAAAUAAGGUUAUAUCAAAUUCCCAAAAUGCUCGUCCGUCAUCUUCAGCUGCAAGCGUUUCUAGUAGAAUAUCAAACUCCUCCCACAUUAAAGAGGAUAAAGGAUUCUUCUUCGGAGAAGAAACGUUGGACAGCAAAUGGAGGCAUCCAGAUGUAGAAACAACGUCAGUUUCAAGCAUAGAAGAUUGGCUACAUACUGAUUCCAGUUUCGGAUCACGAAAAUACGUUGACAGAGUUACUCUUACGAUAAAACAAGAUAUCGAAGAAGUAUCUCACGCCAGCGAUUCAGAUCAUGAAGGCAACGAAGACGAUGACAAUGAGUACUUCCGUAGCAAAUCGUCAUUUUGGAGCGAUGAUGAGCCCAACUGGUUUUUACAGAAGCGAACUUUUCAAGGAACGCAUUCACCGGUACCGGUACCAAUGUUGGUGCCGAAUCCAACAAUAGAAGCAAAGGUACUAAUAGGUGAUAAAGAAGUAGACGAUACCUCAGACUUAUCAGACGUAGAAUCGGAAUACGGAGAUACAGAAAUAGUCCCAGCACGACACAGCCUACUUGUCAAUUCCAAAACACUUAUAGGAGGAAAAAACCCAUUGCAAAAUGGAGUCGGAGAUGUGGAAUCCGAAAGUGAAUCUUCUGCUGAUUCGGGUGUAAAAGAAGUCGAUAGAGGCCAGUCUGUAUACGAUGAAUCCGAAUUUACGGAUAGAGCAGAAGGCGGCAGUCAAAAUGAAGAUGAACAUCAUACGUCUUUUGUGUCUAAAGCAGAUAUUACAAUAGAUGACGAUAACGUAGAAGAUGCAUCACUGAUGUCAGUAUACAGCAACACAGAACAGGAAGCAGAAUACACAGAGAGAUAUGCAUCACUACCAAGAAAAAUAGAAAAAAUACCAGAUCCUGACCCAAGGUCUUCAGAAAAAAUUAGAAACGAUUACACGAACUACGAAACAGUAAAUAAAGUGGAAGAUGACGAUAAGGAAGCUGAAGAAGUGAGACUGGUACAAAAGCAUUUUUCAGGUAGUUACAGUAAACGGGAGAAAGAAAAAUGGAAAAAUGCCGUAGAAAUGAAAAAUAAUCCCUAUUCUAAAGAAAAUAUAGAAAAAAGGAUAAAACGAUCUAAUAGUGGAGUAGACUCGAUAUUUGGGCCUGAUUACUAUGCCAAAAUGGCGUCCUCUCCAUCAGGAACCAAAGGAAAGGUAAAAGAACUUGUAUGGCCACCUAUUGGGAGUGAAGAAUCGGAAGAUACUGUUGAUUUCAUUGAAAAAGACGAAAUUCAACAGGUACCACCAAAACACAUUUCAACAACGUACAUAGCAGCAGAAGAAACCAAAGACAAUUUUAAAGCAUUUCCGGUUAUAGUAGAACCCGUAGAAGCAUCUUUAUCGUCACAGACAAGUUUACCUCCAAAAUCACCUCUGCACGGAUCAGAGAUGACAAGUUUGACAAGCGAUAGUGAUUUGAGUUACGUACACGUUUAUGAUGUGGAAAAUGCUGUAAUAACCAAAAAAACAAGAGACCAACCGGUCAAUUCAGAACCUGAGAAGAAUAACCGAUUUGUAAAAGGUACAACCACUACGACUAGAAGGUUUGUUAACAAUCCACCCCUUAAAAAAUAUAAAAGUGAAACAGAUUUGCUCGAAGAUUCAUUUUAUACUCCACCUAAAGUGCUGGCGAGGAAAAAAGACAACACAUUAAUUUCAAAAAUUUAUUUGGACCCUCAUGUUAGAAGUUUUGCUUUAAGUAAUAGGGAACACUUACCUGUAAAUAAUACGAUACCAACUUUUAGAACCCAGUUGAGUUCUCCAGAGAUGGUCCUGGAUUACAAAGCUUACCAUUCGGACGAUGGACUAAGCUUAAGGCACAGCAAAAGGUACUUCAGUUCACAGGAAGAUUUACUCAGCUCAAAUUCUAUUGAAGUUCACAAUGGAACAAUGACUCACACAGCAAAAAUGUCAUUUAGCUCAGAAGAUGAACAAUUUUUAGAAAAGAAUCCAGUUUUUAGCACAGCUCCAGCAAAUAGACGGAUAUACAGUUCGAGCGAGGAUUUACUUUCUACUGAUGAGACUGAUUAUUCAAAGAAAAAGGACAACACACUCAUAUCAAAAAUUUAUCAACAACCUCAUGUUCGGCAAUAUGCUCUGGCUGCUAGACCAACUAUCCCAGUAAAAGAAGAAAAACGGAUCGAAAAAUCCAUUAGUUCGGAAGAUGAAGUGCUUAUAGAGAUCACAAAAGCACCCAAAGUUAGUUCUCCGAAAGUUUGGCCAGACGUUGAAACGCAGUUCGAAACGAUGAAUAUUAAAGAAAAGGAACCUGUUACAAACGAACACGAUAAUGAAAAUGAUCCAGGUGUUGAAGAAAUAGCUAGAAAAAAAAUUGUGCACAACUUUCUCCAAAAAUAUUCUACUUCAAGUACAAACCUGAAAAUAACAGAUAGUAAGGAAGAUAUAAAUAACGAAGAGGAUAUUACUAUUUCUGUGAAAGAUUUAAGAAAGAGGUUCGAAAAAAAUCAGAAAAAGGACAACACACUCAUAUCAAAAAUUUAUCAACAACCUCAUGUUCGGCAAUAUGCUCUGGCUGCUAGACCAACUAUCCCAGUAAAAGAAGAAAAACGGAUCGAAAAAUCCAUUAGUUCGGAAGAUGAAGUGCUUAUAGAGAUCACAAAAGCACCCAAAGUUAGUUCUCCGAAAGUUUGGCCAGACGUUGAAACGCAGUUCGAAACGAUGAAUAUUAAAGAAAAGGAACCUGUUACAAACGAACACGAUACCCAAAAAUAAUAUAGUAUCCAGCUUAACGGCUAGAAGUUUAUCAAAGCAAAUGAAAGAGGAAUUACGAAAUUGAACAUAGAAAUAUUCAACAAUUCGACUGUGCCACUCACCCGUUUAUCAAUAUACCAAAAAUUGAAAAAGACUUCAGCGAUAUUACUUAAAUGUUUGUUUUAUUCAAUUUUAUUUAUGUACAUAUUGUUUUAUAUUAAUAUAUUGUGUUACUUAUCUUCAUUUACAUUGUACUUACAUAAAGAAUUAAAAGUUACCAUUAAGAGAAGUGUACUCCUUCUGCGUUGAACGCAUGUAACAACCUGUAAAGAUAUAAAAAUUGUUAAUUAUUGGUAAUAUAUUUAUUUACAUAUUU